Molecule: ribosomal RNA, 253 nt
Filed under: uncultured bacterium
Lineage: Bacteria
Description: partial 16S ribosomal RNA
Rfam family: Bacterial small subunit ribosomal RNA
Source: RNAcentral
CACGUAGGGCGCAAGCGUUGUCCGGAAUUAUUGGGCGUAAAGAGCUCGUAGGCGGUCUGUUGCGUCAGCUGUGAAAACUCGGGGCUUAACCCCGAGCCUGCAGUGGAUACGGGCAGACUAGAGGUAGGUAGGGGAGAAUGGAAUUCCCGGUGUAGCGGUGAAAUGCGCAGAUAUCGGGAGGAACACCGGUGGCGAAGGCGGUUCUCUGGGCCGAAACUGACGCUGAGGAGCGAAAGCGUGGGGAGCGAACAGG